AAGCCACACAGACCAGACGGCC
This 22-nucleotide unclassified non-coding RNA is filed under the name synthetic construct. The record is from RNAcentral.